This is a long non-coding RNA of Dermacentor andersoni, 1707 nucleotides long. RefSeq lists it as uncharacterized. NCBI's taxonomy places the organism in Eukaryota, Metazoa, Arthropoda, Arachnida, Ixodida, Ixodidae. The record is from RefSeq and is a predicted model, not a curated record.
CCGCAGAUGGCAUCAACUUACGACACUUACAGUCCCAAACAAGUCAUGUUGGAAGACUGGUGAAGUUAUCCUUCCUGUUUUACAGCCGGUAUUCUACAUAUCAUAAGGGGUCGACGUAGGGCUAGUGGGCGUUUCAUUUGGAAGGGGAAGACGAAAACUAAUGAAGAACGACUACACAUAUGCGCUGCGUUUUUCUGAUUCUACACAUGAUUAUAUCAAAGAGCGCAAUAGAUAUUUCCGAAACAGGAUAAAUAAACAUACCUGCUGAAAAAACGAUCAUGCAGCCCAAUCGGACAAGCGUUGUUGCCUUUCAAUUUCUUCAGCGAAGUCAGAACUAUCCUCGACAGCCUCCGACAAGACCACACUACCGGUACAAUCCGAGUAUCACCAACCCCUCCUUUCGUUUUUAUUUUUGAAAUACCGAAGUACUCUGUGUCUGCACAUCGCAUCAUUUUUCUCUUUACAAACGUUACACGGAGAAGCAAGCACUCCUCUAAUACAGGUGCAACAAGCAGCCCGCCACUAUUCAACCAAUUAAGUUGAUCACACCAGCAAAUGCUUUUGGACUGAUAAAAUCUCAGCGGCGGCGGCGGUCGCAUUCCGGUCGGCCCGAAAUGCAAAAACGCACGUGUACCGUGCCGUGCACUGGGUGCGCGUUAAAGAACCCCAGGUGGUCAAAAUUAAUCCGGAGUCCCCCGCUACACCAUGCCUCAUAAUCAGAUUGUGUUUUUGGCGCGUGAUACGCCAGAAUUAAAUUGUGAAAUCCUAUUGCAGUGCGUGCCAAAUACAGCGAAGGUGGAAGAUCAUGCAUCCUGCAAAUAAACAACGCCCGAAAGCCUAAACCGCCAUCGCAAUGAACUGCAGGACGGAAACAUUGGACUUCGAAUUGGAUUUAUGACUGCUUCUUUCGAAGAGGACGGGAUAUACUCUGAAGACCAUACAGCGUUGAAUAGAGAGAGCAGAGUUUUCUCUGUUUCAGAGUCACGGUUCCACAAUAUCUGAACUUCUGAAGUAUGCAAAGUGGCCACCAUCGCAAUUCACGCAAUGGGCCUCAGCAUCAGAGUCGUCAGCAGAAUGAUGUUUCGUUCCGCACUUCGCGCAUGUCAGCCGCACUCGACAGCCGUGGGAAGCAUGACCAAACCUCUGAAACUUGAAACAGCGUUGCGGAUUCGGAAUCACACUGCAGCAGCCACGCCGCUCCACAGCCUGUGAAAAGCAGGAGCAGAGAUGACGUGAGAUAGCCAGAAACGUCGUGCGGCGUGUUGUCUUUUACGCUCGGCUGCAUACGAACGUCCGUCUCUACGCUUAAGAAGCGAAGAGAUAAGAAGUCGAAGAAGAAAAGAAAAAAAACCACGUCUAGCUGACAAUAAACUUCCAGAGGUUGCAGCGAAAGCGAAAUUGAUAAAAAUUACGAGGCAUGCGGUCUUAGACAUAUUUAUCAAGAAAGAUGACCCUUUCGGAGAACGCUUGCCGCGGCAGGUAGAGGCAUCUAUAAUCAGCAGCGAAGACAUUAAGAACUCCAUUAAUUUAUAAUUAUUUUUAUUUGUUCCGAAUACUCCUAUGCGGCUCGCGUGCGAGAGAGCGCGUGCAUUCUUUUAUAGUUCAGCAGCAAUGGAAGAGGCCCGCAUAUUUGCAUCCCGUUAAUCACUUUUGUUAAACCUUACACGUGACGAAUGCGUCACUACUGUUCUGCUCAUUGUAAAGGGG